This 324-nucleotide long non-coding RNA is filed under the name Homo sapiens (human). RNAcentral describes it as "non-protein coding lnc-ETNK1-7:1". The record is from RNAcentral. Lineage: Eukaryota; Metazoa; Chordata; Mammalia; Primates; Hominidae.
UCCUGUAAUGACUGCUUCCUGGAAAGCAGCCUCAUGUGGAACCUCUUAGUCUCAGCAUCCGGAGCUCUAGAAAAGGAAAAUUUCAAGUCUGAUAGAAUUCUAUGUAUAUCAUUUCUUUGGAACCUUCAGCCCUCAAGAUUUCAACAGCAUGGCCUCAGUUUCAACAUAGUUAUCCUUAGUUCUCAUGUCACAGUUUUGAUGCUGCCUGUUGUUGAAGCAGAAGAAGCCAGUGAUGUAAUCGAUCUCUUGUCAGGUGUGGUUCUCAGCAUUACAGGCAUUUGUGCUUACUUGCAGGUAUUUGCACUAGAAAGAUAUGGACACAUG